GAUGAACGCUGGCGGCGUGCCUAAUACAUGCAAGUCGAGCGAACAGACGAGGAGCUUGCUCCUCUGACGUUAGCGGCGGACGGGUGAGUAACACGUGGAUAACCUACCUAUAAGACUGGGAUAACUUCGGGAAACCGGAGCUAAUACCGGAUAAUAUAUUGAACCGCAUGGUUCAAUAGUGAAAGACGGUUUUGCUGUCACUUAUAGAUGGAUCCGCGCCGCAUUAGCUAGUUGGUAAGGUAACGGCUUACCAAGGCAACGAUGCGUAGCCGACCUGAGAGGGUGAUAGGCCACACUGGAACUGAGACACGGUCCAGACUCCUACGGGAGGCAGCAGUAGGGAAUCUUCCGCAAUGGGCGAAAGCCUGACGGAGCAACGCCGCGUGAGUGAUGAAGGUCUUCGGAUCGUAAAACUCUGUUAUUAGGGAAGAACAAAUGUGUAAGUAACUAUGUACGUCUUGACGGUACCUAAUCAGAAAGCCACGGCUAACUACGUG
This 497-nucleotide ribosomal RNA is filed under the name uncultured bacterium. RNAcentral describes it as "partial 16S ribosomal RNA". It matches the Rfam family "Bacterial small subunit ribosomal RNA", at positions 28 to 507 of the family's 1533-position model. The record is from RNAcentral.